GGGUUAACGUCCCGUAACGAGCGCCAACCUUGUCCUUAGUUACCAGCACGUUAUGGUGGGCACUCUAAGGAGACUGCCGGUGACAAACCGGAGGAAGGUGGGGAUGACGUCAAGUCAUCAUGGCCCUUACGGCCUGGGCUACACACGUGCUACAAUGGUCGGUACAAAGGGUUGCCAAGCCGCGAGGUGGAGCUAAUCCCAUAAAACCGAUCGUAGUCCGGAUCGCAGUCUGCAACUCGACUGCGUGAAGUCGGAAUCGCUAGUAAUCGUGAAUCAGAAUGUCACGGUGAAUACGUUCCCGGGCCUU
RNAcentral lists this ribosomal RNA (307 nucleotides) under uncultured Pseudomonas sp. RNAcentral's name for it is "bacterial SSU rRNA". It matches the Rfam family "Bacterial small subunit ribosomal RNA", at positions 1077 to 1382 of the family's 1533-position model. Lineage: Bacteria; Pseudomonadati; Pseudomonadota; Gammaproteobacteria; Pseudomonadales; Pseudomonadaceae. The record is from RNAcentral.